AUCACGCAGGGCCGAGGCGGCUCAGCCACGUUCUUUAAAUAUGGCUUUUCCCCGGCGCGCGCGACUCCGUGAGGAGUGGGGUGGAGCGCGUGUGGCGUGUGGCUGCGGCCUGGGCAAGAGCCGCCGCGGACCAUGAGUUGAGUAAAUUCGGGAGGGAUCCUGUUUCUAUUGAAGCCGUUGCACCCAGGAAGCUGUGAACUGUGAACCAGAGUGAAGCAGAAAUCUAGGAAGAUGAGCUCCAAGAUGGUCAUAAGUGAACCAGGACUGAAUUGGGAUAUUUCCCC
Molecule: long non-coding RNA, 284 nt
Organism: Cebus imitator (Panamanian white-faced capuchin)
Lineage: Eukaryota; Metazoa; Chordata; Mammalia; Primates; Cebidae
Exons: 3
Source: RefSeq, a predicted model, not a curated record